GUGAAGCAAUGACGUGUUGAUCAAUCAUACUGAAUCAACAAUCGAGAUGUGUUUGACGGUCUGAAAUUGGUGCAUCAGGGUUAGUGAUGGCACAAGGGUUGUGUUGUCAAGAGAGUCAUGCGAUUGGGGUUAUGACUGCACAAGAGUUGUGCUUUCUAAACACCUUUUGGAACAGUGUUAACCGGUUAACGAAUAUGGUUAACCGGUUAACGCAAUACGAAAUAAAAUUUUUAACAUUUUUCAAACAGUGUUAAUCGGUUAACGCAUUUGGUUAACAGGUUAACGCAAGACGGAAAACAGUUUUCCAAGAGAUUUUCAAACAGUGUUAACCGGUUAACGCAUUUGGUUAACCGGUUAAUGCAAGGCAGAAAACAAUUUUUGAACAGAUUUCAAACAGUGUUAACCGGUUAACGCAUAUGGUUAACCGGUUAACGCAAGGCAAAAUUCACCCGUUCGGCUAACUCUACGUAAUGUGAUCGGUCGUCGAGAUUUAAUUUGGUUUUAAUUAAUUAAAAGAAUUAAAAUUGAUAAUAAUAAUAAUGUGUUUAUUAUUGUCUUGUGGUGAUCGGUUAUG
This 574-nucleotide long non-coding RNA is filed under the name Lathyrus oleraceus (garden pea). RNAcentral's name for it is "Pisum sativum (pea) long non-coding RNA (PSAT_LNC038303)". The record is from RNAcentral. Lineage: Eukaryota; Viridiplantae; Streptophyta; Magnoliopsida; Fabales; Fabaceae.